GCAACCACCUGGGUUAGUUUAGCAACCAACUUGAAUAUGGUAGCAACAUUUUUAUAUUUUAACGUAGAUUUUAGCCUUUUAAUCUUUACACACUUUAAACUGUUAAUUUUUUUUAUUUUUAUUUUUUUACAAUUUUUCAAGUCAAUGACAGCAAAAAACUGUACAAUAGUUCAAUUAUUAAGAAUUAUCUGACUUGGAAACGAACUAAGUGAAUGAAUCCGCUGCAGAGGGUCCAGCAGGUCAUCAUACAUCUCCCAGACACAUGGAGACCUCCUGCAGUAGGCCGCAUAAUGUCCAAGAGCAUCCUGGGUUAAGCCUCCUCUGAAAGCAAUGACUGCCCUUAAAGUAAAUCUCUCUUCUUGGAGCAUCAGAUUGGAGGGAAAUUCACACAAAGAAAAUUCUGUGGAGGUGCUUCCCAGGUCAGUGUCAAUCCACAGAAGUUCUCCCAGACUGUAACUGUGAGAAACUUUCCCUGCACAGAGCACUUUUCCUGAGGUAGAGUCUGUCUUGAAUGCAGAGGGACACUGUGACGGACUUUGGAUUGGCCUGAGGCAGGGGGACUCUGGAAGGUUAAGGCCUUCUUCCACCGCGGUCUGAAGAUGUGCCAUGCCAGAAGCCUGCAGUACAGCAACAGAAGUACAAGCAAAUGGAAUUUUCCUUGUGACUUCUGUGCUGAGACUGCAAUACUGUGAGGAGCACUGUUGUGUGAAGGAAACACAUGCGCGUUGUGUCAUUGACUUUUCAAUGAUGGUGGAGAUGUGGCACUGUGCAUCGAUUUGGAGAGCACCAGACUUCAAUCGGACAGCUUUAAAUAUUCCACUCAGCAGCUCUGCCCUCUGUAUGUAGACCUGUGCAUUCAGACCCUUUGUGCUGAUUGUUUUCACUAGCUGGAGGAGGUUGUUUGAGUCCUCACUGCAAACAAUAUUUCCAAAAGUUACACUAUCGCAGAAAGCACAGCAUAAGCGUUGACAAAAAGCAUCAAAUGCACACGUGUUCAGCACAGAGAGUCUUGAUUUCCUGAGUUUAACAGGCUGUUGAUUAUUUCCAUUUUUCAAUAGUUCCACUUUCACUCUUUUCCCCCUCACAGAUGGAUCUGCAUGGAGCCAUUCAAGACAAGGAGAGAGGUAUGACUUCCUUUUCCUCUUUUUGGGUGGAAAAGCUAGGCCUCUCCAGUUUUCAACUGCGUCUUCAUCUGUUAGAUGGAUGUUUGUGACAGUGUCAGACUUCCCAGAACAGGAAUCAUCCAUUUCUGCUUUUCUGUCUACACUGCAAGUUGUGGUGGGCAGUGGAUUUUGCUCUUGUGAUGAUCACUGUUAAAACAACUGCAUCUUCUUCACCUUUUUGUUUUGCAAAAAAAAUUCACACAUUGCCCUCAACAAAGGACAAAUGUCGGGCAAUGAAUCGAUCCACCCGAAUAGGCAAGUUUUCAUGCUUGAAGAGCCCACGUUUGAUGUUUUUGAACUCUGCUUCAACAUUGGCUGAACUUGCGGUGAUGUUGGUGCUUCAGAAGUGAAGGAUCAUUACCCCUGUCCAGAGUGGUCUGUCUGUGUUUGGUCAAAUGGAUGCACUUCGUCCAGGUCCUCACCCUCUACAUCUGGAAUGAUUACACACUCUUCUGCAAUUUGGGCUUUCAGCAGUCCCACUGGCAGAUCAUCUUGAUGCAGUGUGCAACAUCAACCCGAACAAAACAAGGUGGCACUUUUGCUGACACUUUACCGAGUAAGACACCACAACACUCAUUGAUGUAGGUCUUCAGAUCAGGAUGAGGAGUAAAAGCCUUGACCAGAGCUCCAAGCAAAGCCAGAGAAAAGUCACUCACAACCUCUUUUGGAAUUGGUGCACCUGCACGUAUCCAUUCUGUCAGCCAAUGUGUUAUUGCAUUAACAUCGUGUCCCUCUGACAGCAUUUGCACCACUGGGACACUUGAACUCUCAUCCCCUGCCAGAACACCUGAUAUAAGAAGAUAAGGCCAGACAUGCCAUUUGGUCUGUGUAGUUUCCUCACCACUGAGCCCGUUGCAUCAAAACUCACAGUGGGGGUGGCCAAAUUAGGAAGAUGGCUUGGCUCAGGAUCUCCAAAAUCCAUCAGUUUUGUUGCCUCUGAUGCCCUCCAUACAUGGGGUUCCAUUCUACCCUCACACAGUUCUUUGGCUAUCUGCACACACAAGUUACCAUAUAUCGGACGCUUCGAACAUCCAGUGUGGAGGGAGUCAUCGGUGUUUUUAAUUCAACAAUUGAGCACCAUUGGGCUGUUCAUUUCAGGCUCUCUGUCACAUUUUAUGUGAAUGUGGCCAUGACAUUCCUUACAAAUGCCUCUGAUUUCUAGGAAUUUCUCUGUUACUGAUGGAUAGACCUUGGCCUUUUUAAAGACAAAUGUGCAGGGGCUUCUCGCUUCUUCCCGAAUGUGAUGAUUUAUCACAUGUGUCCAGAUGCCAGGCUUCAAACUUGUGUAUUCCCUUUUUUGUGUUUUAGAGAACUUGUUUUUAUAUUUAACUGUUUCGGGCAUGAAUUCAAUCCAAUUCUGAAAUGGAACUUGAAGAUCAAAAGUCCAGCAAUCUUUUGGUCUUGGGGAAAGGGACCUGGCUCAAAAUCAGUGUCAUCACUACUGCCACUUGUUUGAUGAUCACUUUUAUAAAUAAACCCUAAAGCAGUCCAGAUGUUGUGUCUGUUCAAUUUAACAAACGUGUAUAGAGCCUUUGCAGUGACCUUGUUUUCUAGCUGCUCACUAAGCUCUGUCCAGAUGCUCUGAUUAGGAGUAGCUAUGUUGCCAUUUUGGACGAUGGCCUCUUUUGAUGAACAGAGGACUGUGAAAAUGGAAUCCCUGUCGACCGCUGCUUUCUUGGGCAUCUGGCAUAAACAAAACAUAAUUACCCACUGAAAUAAUCCUGAUGCAAAAAAUGUCAUACACUGUAAACUUGUUUUCAUGUAUUACUGUAUUUGCCAGAAUACAAGGAAAAU
Long non-coding RNA from Ictalurus furcatus (blue catfish), 2957 nucleotides. RefSeq lists it as uncharacterized. The transcript has 5 exons. The record is from RefSeq and is a predicted model, not a curated record. NCBI's taxonomy places the organism in Eukaryota, Metazoa, Chordata, Actinopteri, Siluriformes, Ictaluridae.